Molecule: ribosomal RNA, 2900 nt
Filed under: Klebsiella pneumoniae
Lineage: Bacteria; Pseudomonadati; Pseudomonadota; Gammaproteobacteria; Enterobacterales; Enterobacteriaceae
Description: 23S ribosomal RNA
Rfam family: Bacterial large subunit ribosomal RNA
Source: RNAcentral
GGUUAAGCGACUAAGCGUACACGGUGGAUGCCCUGGCAGUCAGAGGCGAUGAAGGACGUGCUAAUCUGCGAAAAGCGUCGGUAAGGUGAUAUGAACCGUUAUAACCGGCGAUGUCCGAAUGGGGAAACCCAGUGCAAUUCGUUGCACUAUCGUUAACUGAAUACAUAGGUUAACGAGGCGAACCGGGGGAACUGAAACAUCUAAGUACCCCGAGGAAAAGAAAUCAACCGAGAUUCCCCCAGUAGCGGCGAGCGAACGGGGAGCAGCCCAGAGUCUGAAUCAGCUUGUGUGUUAGUGGAACGGUCUGGAAAGUCCGACGGUACAGGGUGAUAGUCCCGUACACCAAAAUGCACAGGUUGUGAACUCGAAGAGUAGGGCGGGACACGUGGUAUCCUGUCUGAAUAUGGGGGACCAUCCUCCAAGGCUAAAUACUCCUGACUGACCGAUAGUGAACCAGUACCGUGAGGGAAAGGCGAAAAGAACCCCGGCGAGGGGAGUGAAAAAGAACCUGAAACCGUGUACGUACAAGCAGUGGGAGCACCUUCGGGUGUGACUGCGUACCUUUUGUAUAAUGGGUCAGCGACUUAUAUUCUGUAGCAAGGUUAACCGUAUAGGGGAGCCGCAGGGAAACCGAGUCUUAACUGGGCGUUAAGUUGCAGGGUAUAGACCCGAAACCCGGUGAUCUAGCCAUGGGCAGGUUGAAGGUUGGGUAACACUAACUGGAGGACCGAACCGACUAAUGUUGAAAAAUUAGCGGAUGACUUGUGGCUGGGGGUGAAAGGCCAAUCAAACCGGGAGAUAGCUGGUUCUCCCCGAAAGCUAUUUAGGUAGCGCCUCGUGAAUUCAUCUUCGGGGGUAGAGCACUGUUUCGGCUAGGGGGUCAUCCCGACUUACCAACCCGAUGCAAACUACGAAUACCGAAGAAUGUUAUCACGGGAGACACACGGCGGGUGCUAACGUCCGUCGUGAAGAGGGAAACAACCCAGACCGCCAGCUAAGGUCCCAAAGUCAUGGUUAAGUGGGAAACGAUGUGGGAAGGCACAGACAGCCAGGAUGUUGGCUUAGAAGCAGCCAUCAUUUAAAGAAAGCGUAAUAGCUCACUGGUCGAGUCGGCCUGCGCGGAAGAUGUAACGGGGCUAAACCAUGCACCGAAGCUGCGGCAGCGACACUAUGUGUUGUUGGGUAGGGGAGCGUUCUGUAAGCCUGCGAAGGUGUGCUGUGAGGCAUGCUGGAGGUAUCAGAAGUGCGAAUGCUGACAUAAGUAACGAUAAAGCGGGUGAAAAGCCCGCUCGCCGGAAGACCAAGGGUUCCUGUCCAACGUUAAUCGGGGCAGGGUGAGUCGACCCCUAAGGCGAGGCCGAAAGGCGUAGUCGAUGGGAAACAGGUUAAUAUUCCUGUACUUGGUGUUACUGCGAAGGGGGGACGGAGAAGGCUAUGUUAGCCGGGCGACGGUUGUCCCGGUUUAAGCAUGUAGGCUGGUUGUCCAGGCAAAUCCGGAUAAUCAAGGCUGAGGUGUGAUGACGAGGCACUACGGUGCUGAAGUAACAAAUGCCCUGCUUCCAGGAAAAGCCUCUAAGCAUCAGGUAACAUCAAAUCGUACCCCAAACCGACACAGGUGGUCAGGUAGAGAAUACCAAGGCGCUUGAGAGAACUCGGGUGAAGGAACUAGGCAAAAUGGUGCCGUAACUUCGGGAGAAGGCACGCUGGUGUGUAGGUGAAGUCCCUGCGGAUGGAGCUGAGACCAGUCGAAGAUACCAGCUGGCUGCAACUGUUUAUUAAAAACACAGCACUGUGCAAACACGAAAGUGGACGUAUACGGUGUGACGCCUGCCCGGUGCCGGAAGGUUAAUUGAUGGGGUUAUCCGUAAGGAGAAGCUCUUGAUCGAAGCCCCGGUAAACGGCGGCCGUAACUAUAACGGUCCUAAGGUAGCGAAAUUCCUUGUCGGGUAAGUUCCGACCUGCACGAAUGGCGUAAUGAUGGCCAGGCUGUCUCCACCCGAGACUCAGUGAAAUUGAACUCGCUGUGAAGAUGCAGUGUACCCGCGGCAAGACGGAAAGACCCCGUGAACCUUUACUAUAGCUUGACACUGAACAUUGAGCCUUGAUGUGUAGGAUAGGUGGGAGGCUUUGAAGCGUGGACGCCAGUCUGCGUGGAGCCAACCUUGAAAUACCACCCUUUAAUGUUUGAUGUUCUAACGUUGGCCCCUGACCGGGGUUGCGGACAGUGUCUGGUGGGUAGUUUGACUGGGGCGGUCUCCUCCCAAAGCGUAACGGAGGAGCACGAAGGUUAGCUAAUCCUGGUCGGACAUCAGGAGGUUAGUGCAAUGGCAUAAGCUAGCUUGACUGCGAGCGUGACGGCGCGAGCAGGUGCGAAAGCAGGUCAUAGUGAUCCGGUGGUUCUGAAUGGAAGGGCCAUCGCUCAACGGAUAAAAGGUACUCCGGGGAUAACAGGCUGAUACCGCCCAAGAGUUCAUAUCGACGGCGGUGUUUGGCACCUCGAUGUCGGCUCAUCACAUCCUGGGGCUGAAGUAGGUCCCAAGGGUAUGGCUGUUCGCCAUUUAAAGUGGUACGCGAGCUGGGUUUAGAACGUCGUGAGACAGUUCGGUCCCUAUCUGCCGUGGGCGCUGGAGAAUUGAGGGGGCUGCUCCUAGUACGAGAGGACCGGAGUGGACGCAUCACUGGUGUUCGGGUUGUCAUGCCAAUGGCACUGCCCGGUAGCUAAAUGCGGAAGAGAUAAGUGCUGAAAGCAUCUAAGCACGAAACUUGCCCCGAGAUGAGUUCUCCCUGAGACUUUAAGUCUCCUGAAGGAACGUUGAAGACGACGACGUUGAUAGGCCGGGUGUGUAAGCGCAGCGAUGCGUUGAGCUAACCGGUACUAAUGAACCGUGAGGCUUAACCUU